Molecule: ribosomal RNA, 120 nt
Filed under: Pseudomassariella vexata
Lineage: Eukaryota; Fungi; Ascomycota; Sordariomycetes; Amphisphaeriales; Pseudomassariaceae
Source: RNAcentral
GCAUACGACCAUACCUUCUAGAAAACUCGGUAUCCCGUCCGCUCUGCCCUAGAUAAACUGGAAAGGGCCGGAUUAGUAGUUGGGUGGGUGACCACCAGCGAAUACCCGGUGUUGUAUGUU